GCAUUAUCUACUUCUUCGGAGGAAAAAGAACACCAACGAGAGGAUUGCCCUAGUUACCGGCGAAGUGAAGCCGGCAACAGCUCAAAUUUGAAAUCUGGCUUCGGCCCCGAGUUGUAAUUUGCAGAGGAAGCUUUAGGCGCGGCACCUCCUGAGUCCCCUGGAACGGGGCGCCACAGAGGGUGAGAGCCCCGUAUAGUUGGAUGCCUAGCCUGUGUAAAGCUCCUUCGACGAGUCGAGUAGUUUGGGAAUGCUGCUCAAAAUGGGAGGUAAAUUUCUUCUAAAGCUAAAUACCGGCCAGAGACCGAUAGCGCACAAGUAGAGUGAUCGAAAGAUGAAAAGCACUUUGAAAAGAGGGUUAAAUAGCACGUGAAAUUGUUGAAAGGGAAGCGCUUGUGACCAGACUUGCGCCGGGCUGAUCAUCCGGUGUUCUCACCGGUGCACUCUGCCCGGCUCAGGCCAGCAUCGGUUCUCGCGGGGGGAUAAAGGCCCUGGGAACGUAGCUCCUCCGGGAGUGUUAUAGCCCGGGGCGCAAUGCCCUCGCGGGGACCGAGGUUCGCGCUCUGCAAGGAUGCUGGCGUAAUGGUCAUCAGCGACCCGUCUUGAAACACGGACCAAGGAGUCAAGGUUUUGCGCGAGUGUUUGGGUGUAAAACCCGCACGCGUAAUGAAAGUGAACGUAGGUGAGAGCUUCGGCGCAUCAUCGACCGAUCCUGAUGUUCUCGGAUGGAUUUGAGUAGGAGCGUUAAGCCUUGGACCCGAAAGAUGGUGAACUAUGCUUGGAUAGGGUGAAGCCAGAGGAAACUCUGGUGGAGGCUCGCAGCGGUUCUGACGUGCAAAUCGAUCGUCAAAUCUGAGCAUGGGGGCCGAAAGACUAAUCGAACCAUCUAGUAGCUGGUUACCGCCGAAGUU
Molecule: ribosomal RNA, 908 nt
Filed under: Pseudothielavia terricola
Lineage: Eukaryota; Fungi; Ascomycota; Sordariomycetes; Sordariales; Chaetomiaceae
Description: partial large subunit ribosomal RNA
Rfam family: Eukaryotic large subunit ribosomal RNA
Source: RNAcentral